UCCAGAAGUGGCUCACCUUCAAUUUCCUUAACCUUCAUGCUAUUUGCGAUUGCAGAAGCUGUCCUCCUUCCAAUGGUCACUCCUACACCCCUGUCCAUCACUGUCUGCCUAUCAGACCCCAAACCAUUUCUACGACUAGUCAAUCUGUGGCUGCCUCCAAAAAGGCUGCGAGCAUGAUAAUGACUCAUUGCCCGAUCCCUUAGCAUUUGGGCUUCAGCAAGCAAUGGAGAAGGUAAUGCUGAUAAUACAGCUUCUGAAGAAGUCAAAAGUACCUCUUC
RNAcentral lists this unclassified non-coding RNA (278 nucleotides) under Hevea brasiliensis (rubber tree). The record is from RNAcentral. Lineage: Eukaryota; Viridiplantae; Streptophyta; Magnoliopsida; Malpighiales; Euphorbiaceae.